This 1492-nucleotide ribosomal RNA is filed under the name uncultured Bordetella sp. Its description in RNAcentral is "partial 16S-23S ribosomal RNA intergenic spacer". It matches the Rfam family "Bacterial small subunit ribosomal RNA". The record is from RNAcentral. Lineage: Bacteria; Pseudomonadati; Pseudomonadota; Betaproteobacteria; Burkholderiales; Alcaligenaceae.
GGUUCGAUUAUGGCUCGGGUGAACGCUGGCGGGAUGCUUUACACAUGCAAGUCAAUUGCGGCGCUGGACUUCGGUCUGGUGGCGAGUGGCGAACAGGUGAGUAAUGUAUCGGAACGUGCCUAGUAGCGGGGGAUAACUGCGCGAAAGCGUAGCUAAUACCGCAUACGCCCUUCGGGGGAAAGCGGGGGACCUUCGGGCCUCGCACUAUUAAACGGCCGAUAUCGGAUUAGCUAGUUGGUGGGAGGUAACGGCUCACCAAGGCGACGAUCCGUAGCUGGUUUGAGAGGACGACCAGCCACACUGGAACUGCAGAACACAGCCCAGACUCCUACGGGAGGCAGCAGUGGGGAAUUUUUGGGACAAUGGGGAAGCCUACAGUCCAGCCCAUCCCGCGUGUGCGAUGAAGGCCUUCGGGUUUGUAAAGCACUUUUGGCAGGAAAGAAACGGCACGGGAUAAUACCCCGUGCAACUGGCGGGGACCUGCAGAAUAAACACCGGCUAACUACGUGCCAGCAGCCCGCGGUAAUACGUAAGUGCAAGCGUUGAGUGGAAUUACUGGGCGUAAAGCGUGCGCAGGCGGUUCAGGAAAGAAGGUCUUAAGAAAUCCAGAGCUUAACUGGAACUGCAUUUUAACUACCGAGCUAGAGUGUGUCAGAGGAGGUGGAAUUCCGCGUGUAGCAGUGAAAUGCGUAGAUAUGCGGAGGAACACCGAUGGCGAAGGCAGCCUCCUGGGAUUAACGCGACGCUCAUGCGAAAGCGUGGGGGAGCAAACAGGAUUAGAUACCCUGGUAGUCCACGCCUAAACGAUGUCAACUAGCUAUUUGGGGCCUUCAGGCCUUGGUAGCGCAGCUAACGCGUGAAGUUGACCGCCUGGGAGUACGGUCGCAAGAUUAAAACUCAAAGGAAUUGACGGGGACCCGCACAAGCGGUGGAUGAUGUGGAUUAAUUCGAUGCAACGCAAAAGAAGACACUGCCUACCCUUGACAUAUGUGGAAUCCCGAAGAAGAGGUUCCAGGUGCUCGCAAGAGAACCGGAACACAGGUGCUGCAUGGCUGUCGUCAGCUCGUGUCGUGAGAUGUUGGGUUAAGUCCGCAACGAGCGCAACCCUUGUCAUUAGUUGCUACGAAGGGCACUCUAUUAGAGCUGCCGGUAUUAAGCGCCAGGAGGAGGUAGGAUGACGUCAAGUCCUCAUGGCCCUUAUGGGUAAGGAGCUUCACACGUCAUACAAUGAUCAGGACAGAGGUCGCCAACCCGCGAGGGGAACCAAUCCCAGAAACCCGAUCGUAGUCGGAUCGCCAUCUGCCAUCCUGACUGCGUGAAGUCGGAAUCGCUAGUAAUCGCGGAUCAGCAUGUCGCGGUGAAUACGUUCCCGGGGUCUUGUACACCGCCCGUCACACCAUGGGAGUGGGUUUUACCAGAAGUAGUUAGCCUAACCGUAAGGAGGGCGAUUACCACGGUAAGUUCAUGACUGGGGUGAAGUCGUAACGAGGCG